This is a non-coding RNA of Enterococcus faecium DO, 62 nucleotides long. NCBI's taxonomy places the organism in Bacteria, Bacillati, Bacillota, Bacilli, Lactobacillales, Enterococcaceae. The record is from Rfam.
AUAAUGAUACUUCCGUAACCAAAUCGGCCCGCCAUUACUGGGGGGAGGUGAGAUUCCUAUGU